GGCUCUGUAGUGAAGUUCAUGGUGGGUUGCAAACUCAUCGAUGUGCAUUGAUUUGCGCCGGGGCCU
RNAcentral lists this transfer RNA (66 nucleotides) under Alcippe hueti. RNAcentral describes it as "tRNA-Cys". Lineage: Eukaryota; Metazoa; Chordata; Aves; Passeriformes; Timaliidae. The record is from RNAcentral.